Molecule: ribosomal RNA, 465 nt
Filed under: uncultured bacterium
Lineage: Bacteria
Description: partial 16S ribosomal RNA
Rfam family: Bacterial small subunit ribosomal RNA
Source: RNAcentral
GACGAACGCUGGCGGCGUGCUUAACACAUGCAAGUCGAGCGGAAAGGCCCUGCUUUCGGGGUACUCUAGUGGCGAACGGAUGGGUAACUAGUGGGUGGUCUGCCCGCCACUUCGGGGUAAGCCUCGUAAACUGAGGCUAGUACCUGCUAGAUACCAUUUUUAGUCAUAUGGUUGGAGAGUGAUUGCGGUGUUGGAUGAGCUCGCAGCCAAUCAGCUGGUUUGUCGGGUAGUUGCCUACCAAGGCGGCGACGGGUCGGCGGCAUGAGAGGUGGGACGGGCACCUAGGGACUGCGAGACGGCGCAGAAGCGUACCGGAGGCAGCAGUGGGGAAUAUUGCACAAUGGGGGCGAGUCUGAUGCAGCGACGCCGCGUGGGUGAUGACGGGCUUCGGGUUGUAAACGCCUUUCGCUAGGGACGACGCAUUUUGUGACGGUAACUAGAUAAGAAGCAACGGCUAACUACGUG